This 138-nucleotide ribosomal RNA is filed under the name uncultured eukaryote. RNAcentral describes it as "partial 18S ribosomal RNA". It matches the Rfam family "Eukaryotic small subunit ribosomal RNA", at positions 1299 to 1458 of the family's 1831-position model. The record is from RNAcentral.
UGGUGGAGUGAUUUGUCUGGUUAAUUCCGAUAACGAACGAGACCUUAACCUGCUAAAUAGCCAGGCCGUCUUUGGAUGGUCGCCGGCUUCUUAGAGGGACUGUCGGUGUCUAACCGACGGAAGUUUGAGGCAAUAACA